RNAcentral lists this ribosomal RNA (227 nucleotides) under uncultured bacterium. Its description in RNAcentral is "partial 16S ribosomal RNA". It matches the Rfam family "Bacterial small subunit ribosomal RNA", at positions 494 to 720 of the family's 1533-position model. The record is from RNAcentral.
UGGCUAACUCCGUGCCAGCAGCCGCGGUAAUACGGAGGGGGCUAGCGUUAUUCGGAAUUAUUGGGCGUAAAGGGCGCGUAGGCGGAUUAAUAAGUUAAAAGUGAAAUCCCAAGGCUCAACCUUGGAAUUGCUUUUAAAACUAUUAAUCUAGAGAUUGAAAGAGGAUAGAGGAAUUCCUAAUGUAGAGGUAAAAUUCGUAAAUAUUAGGAGGAACACCAGUGGCGAAG